RNAcentral lists this ribosomal RNA (423 nucleotides) under uncultured bacterium. Its description in RNAcentral is "partial 16S ribosomal RNA". It matches the Rfam family "Bacterial small subunit ribosomal RNA", at positions 359 to 773 of the family's 1533-position model. The record is from RNAcentral.
GAAUCUUCCGCAAUGGACGCAAGUCUGACGGAGCGACGCCGCGUGAGUGAUGAAGGUCUUCGGAUCGUAAAGCUCUGUUGUUAGGGAAGAACAAGUAACGUUCAAAUAGGGCGUUACCCUGACGGUACCUAACCAGACAGCCCCGGCUAUCUACGUGCCCACAGACGCGGUAAUACGUAGGGGGCAAGCGUUGUCCGGAAUUAUUGGGCGUAAAGGGCGCGCAGGCGGUUAUUUAAGUCUGAUGUGAAAUCUUGUGGCUUAACCACAAGCGGUCAUUGGAAACUGAAUAACUUGAGUGCAGAAGAGGAGAGUGGAAUUCCACGUGUAGCGGUGAAAUGCGUAGAGAUGUGGAGGAACACCAGUGGCGAAGGCGGCUCUCUGGUCUGCAACUGACGCUGAGGCGCGAAAGCGUGGGUAGCGAAC